UACCGUAUUGUCCUCACUUCCACAUUUGCCA
This 31-nucleotide non-coding RNA is filed under the name Rattus norvegicus (Norway rat). Lineage: Eukaryota; Metazoa; Chordata; Mammalia; Rodentia; Muridae. The record is from RNAcentral.